Molecule: small RNA, 1380 nt
Filed under: Pongo abelii (Sumatran orangutan)
Lineage: Eukaryota; Metazoa; Chordata; Mammalia; Primates; Hominidae
Description: processed transcript
Source: RNAcentral
AGUUAGUGCCAGUGCUGCGUGUGGAGGGCUGACUCUUGGCGCGAUGCCUGUGCAGAUCAACAGGCGGUCCUUCGGUCGGAGUGGACAUCGGAUGGUGGCCUGGAAGAGACAAUUGAUCCUUUUUGUGGGCUUCCAUGAGAGUGCACGGGAUUACAUCUACUACAACGAUGUGUAUACCUUUAAUCUGGACACCUUCACAUGGAGCAAGCUGUCCCCGUCAGGGACAGGCCCACACCCAGAUCAGGCUGCCAGAUGUCCGUCACUCCCCAGGGCGGCAUCAUCAUCUACGGGGCUACUCGAAACAGAGAGUUAAGAAGGACGUGGACAGGGGCACGCGGCACUCAGACAUGUUCCUGCUGAAGCCGGAGGACGGGAGAGAAGACAAGUGGGUGUGGACUCGGAUGAACCCUUCGGGGGUCAAGCCCACCCCACGGUCUGGCUUUUCUGCGGCCAUGGCCCUGAAUCACCAGACACUGUUCUUCGGGGGUGUCUGUGACGAGGAAGAGGAGGAGAGCCUGGCGGGCGAGUUCUUCAACGAUCUGUACUUCUACGACGCCACCAGGAACCGUUGGUUUGAGGGACAGCUGAAGGGACCCAAGUCUGAAAAGAAGAAACGCAGGCGGGGCAGAAAAGAGGAGUCCGAAGGUGGUAGCAAGCUGGCAUGUGGGGGAGCUGGCACCCAGGGGCCUGUGCAGGUGGUCAAGGAGGUGGUGGCUGAGGAUGGCACCGUGGUCACCAUUAAGCAGGUGCUCGCCGCCCCAGGCUCGGCGGGGCAGCCCCGGUCUGAGGACGAAGACAGCCCCGAGGAGGCCGGCAGCUCUGCACCCGGGCCGUGUCCACGCUCCAACGCCAUGCUGGCCGUGAAGCAUGGGGUGCUCUACGUCUAUGGGGGCAUGUUUGAGGCCGGCGACCGCCAGGUCACCCUCAGCGACCUGCACUGCCUGGACCUACACAGGAUGGAGGCGUGGAAGGCCUUGGUGGAGAUGGACCCAGAAACUCAGGAGUGGCUGGAGGAGACGGACUCGGAAGAGGACAGUGAGGAGGUUGAGGGCGCCGAGGGUGGAGACGAGGACGAGGAUGAAGACAGCAGAGAGGAGAGCGGUGCGGAGGACUGAGAAGAGCCCCUGCGCCAGGGGCUCCUGGCAAGUGCUGGUGCCACAUCCGCCCAGGACCCAGCCGUGUUGGGUGAAGCUCUUGGGGCCAACCUGUGCCCUGAUGCACAGGAGAGAGCUGAAGGUGGGUGGCCCAGGCCAGGGUGUGAACUUUCUCGCAUGGUUUAGUCUCUGACGUGGCGCCGGGCCGGAGGUUCAACUGAGUGCAGUGCAGGUGAUUCCCUCAGCAGCCUGUGUGUUGUAUAAAAUAAACUGGACUUGAAACAAG